This 460-nucleotide ribosomal RNA is filed under the name uncultured bacterium. RNAcentral describes it as "partial 16S ribosomal RNA". It matches the Rfam family "Bacterial small subunit ribosomal RNA", at positions 338 to 795 of the family's 1533-position model. The record is from RNAcentral.
CCUACGGGAGGCAGCAGUGAGGAAUAUUGGUCAAUGGGCGCGAGCCUGAACCAGCCAAGUAGCGUGAAGGAUGAAUGCCCUACGGGUUGUAAACUUCUUUUAUAAAGGAAUAAAGUGAGGCACGUGUGCCUUUUUGUAUGUACUUUAUGUAUAAGGAUAGGCUAACUCCGUGCCAGCAGCCGCGGUACUACGGAGGAUCCGAGCGUUAUCCGGAUUUAUUGGGUUUAAAGGGAGCGUAGAUGGGUUGUUAAGUCAGUUGUGAAAGGUUGCGGCUUAACCGUAAAAUUGCAAUUGAUACUGGCAGUCUUGAGUACAGGUGGGGUAGGCGGAAUUCGUGGUGUAGCGGUGAAAUGCUUAGAUAUCACGAAGAACUCCGAUUGCGAAGGCAGCUUACUAAGCUGCCACUGACAUUGAUGCGCGAAAGUGUGGGUAUCAAACAGGAUUAGAUACCCCAGUAGUC